GCGCGCGGCGCGGCUCUCCCGCGGCGACCUCUGGCGGCCGCGCCGGGCCGUGGGCGCGGGAGCCACGACGUGCUCGGGCCCCCGUCGCCUUCGGAAAAGGCCGAGAGGCGUUGCGGUUGGCGCCGCCGCCUCGAGACCUGGUGGGUUCCUGGCCCGUCAGGGCAUGAGACUCGGGCAGCGCCGGCGCCUGACUGACCCUGAGGGCUGGGGGUGUUCGCGCGGGGCUGCCGGACGCGGGCUCCCCGGGGGCCCGGGGUAACGCUCAGCAUCUGCCCCGGCGUCUGUGGCAACGCUAGUUUGGCAGCAGCCGGCAGCCGUCGUUGGUCUUUCUCACUCGCUGGAAUUUUCCAGAGGCGACUAGAUGGGCAGUGAAGUCAUCACUGAUGACUCGCGGAAGGGCUGCCCGUGUUUGCUCCAAUUUCCCGAGUGCUCAGGGGUUCCUCCUGACUCUGCACUCAGGAAUUACUCCUGGCGGUGCUUGAGGGACCAUAUAGGAUGCUGGGAAUCGAACCCCGGUCGGCUGCAUGAGGGGAAACGCCCUCCCCGCUGUACCAUCGCUCCGGCCCCUUUCCUCUUUUCUUAAGCCUUCCUUGUGGGAACACUUCGUUUCUGCCUGAGGCCACAUCUUGGGGUACUCAGGGAUUACUGCUAGUGAUGUUUUGGGGACCUUAUAUGGUGCUGUGCUGGAAAUCAAACCAGUGUCAUCCAUGUGAAAGUACAUUCUUACAGUGGGAGUCUCUCUACAGCCACUGGAAUUUUCAAAGCUGUUUGGAUUCUUCAGUCCUUUUUGAAAACCUGAAAGCAAAAUGUUUGAGACUACUUGGCAUUUAGUAUUGCUUUUCCUUGUUUAUAGUUGCUGGAACAAUUAUUCAACCUUUUGCAGGUAGAAAUUUUCUUUUUCAGUCUCCUUUCCCAAACCUUAAUGGGGGUCCUGCUUUGGCUGUAGCUGCUCUGCCUGGGUUCUAGGAUGUGUCAUAAAGCAAGUGUAAGAGCUAGUACAGUGGGUAAGGUAUCUGACUUGCACGAGGCUGACCCAGGUUUGCUCUUUAGGUUUGAUCCCCUCCCUGAGUGUAAAAAACUAAAGAGCGCCGAGGGGCGCGUGUACUCGCGGGCUCUCCGGGCGGCUCUGUCUCACCGCCCGCAUCCGGUGCCCCAGAACCGCAGUGUGUGCCGUCGGUCGAGGGCAGGCGACGGAAGGAAGAAGGAAGAAGGCCAAACUGGUUGCUCGAUCCGUUUAUUUCAUUCUCUCUCUCCGCUUCUCUCCCGCUCUCCUGGAUCUCUCCCCGUGGAUCUGCCCCGUGGAUCUGCCUCGUGGAUCUGGCCCCCCAACCCACUCUCACAGCCUAGUUAAAUCUCCACAGCAUGAGGGGGUUGGGGCAUACACUUAGGUGUGGUCACCAUCUAUAGGGUAAGGUUCCUUUUCCUUAGGGGAUGCUUCUCCUAGGACUUAAUUCUCUUUCAGCAAGAGGAUCCACCCAAGGGUGGAGUCCCAUGAAUGUGUUUCUCUUCUCCUCAGCCAGCAAACAUAUAAGAAUUCAUAAUAUUAAUUAUUUUGUAUGGACACAAUAAGAGAUGCAUUAAAGCUUAUAGAAUUGCUCUCCUGGGGCCAUCUCAAUCUCAGACUACAGUGCUCAGCCAGAUCAGUCUUUCCUAUCCCUGGCAGGGUCCCAGUCUCAUAAUUACUAUUGGAUCAUGACAGCAUUUGUCUAUGAUCAAGCUCUUAACUUAUAGUUAAGAAUUAGGCACUUUGGCCAAGCCCAUCUCGAUGCCAGGGUAGCACAUAACUCACCGCUUGCCCUGGAUCCUUCCUGUCCCACGUCGGGGACCCUACUUUGGGGUGCUAGGAACUGAGGGCAACUGAGGCUUAAGUGGAGAAAGCAGAGGCCCGGGAGGGAAUAUUCGAGGCCAAUUAAUUCCCAAGUUAUAAAAACAUAAUAUUGUCUUCUUGUGUCUAUACAAAACAGUCAUAGCUUUAAAGUAAAUUAUUCAAAAGGCACAAGAAGAGGAGAAAGGCAAUAUUAACUUAUAUAAUAUAAAUUCAGUAUCCUAGGAAGGUCUGACCUUGCAAAUUAGCAGAGUCAGAUUAAGGGAAAGCCGAGGAUUAACUCUUUUGGGGAAGAGAGCAUGGAGAAGUGAUUAUAGCUAAACAAAGGGAUGGGAGAGAUUCGGGAACACCUUGAUGGGUGUGACUGGGGUAAGCCUAAACUCUGGGUAAAACCGGGACAAGCUACUUGUGGCAAGGAGGGAAAGGGCAAAGUAAUGUCAUCCUACACCUGAGCACCACCAGGAGUGAUCCCUAAGCAUAGAGCUGAGAGUAAUCCCUGAACACUGUGGCUCAAACAUAUGAGAGAGACAGUAGUCUAUAGAAUGAGAGGUUAGACUUUUCACCAAAUACCUGCACCCUAACGUUCAACAGAUGAUUUUAAUGCCUUUACUAAUAAUGUCCUCUGUGUAGAAGAGGAAGCAAAAGUAGAUUCUCUGUUGCCCUUUCCAUCCUCGGGCAUAGGGAAUAUCAUGCACAAUGAGUCACCAUGGGAGUUUAUACGCUACCAUUCUCAAAGAUAUUUUAAAAUAGCUUCCACUCUCUCCUGCCUAAUGUACUGCAAGGUAAUGUCUUUCUGACAACAUGAUACACGUAGGUUUCUCCUUCUAACAUGUGGAAGAAAGCUUGUUAAAAAUUUACAAGCAGGGCCUCUCCGCAGCUGCACAAGCGUGAAUCCAGACCCAGCAAAACCUCUUUCGGCGUGGGCAACUCCUCGCAGAAUGUCUCCAGCCUGAGAACUAAGCCUCGGCCCCGUGCCCGCCCAGGAGGGGAAAGGUAUUUCUCUCUCUCUCUCGCCUCUUUCUCUCCGGGGAUGAAGGGCGCGGUGGCCGCCAUGUUAAGACGACCACAGAUGGGAUUUACGACAAAAACUGCAGCCAAAGGACACGAGGGUGCUCUUGGGAAGGUGGGAGGCACCGGCCCCUCCCACCGCUGAGAUGUGAUCCCGGGGGCCGCACGCAUGUGCGGCCUCUCCGCAGCUGCACAAGCGUGAAUCCAGACCCCGCAAAACCUCUUUCGGCGUGGGCAACUCCUCGCAGAAUGUCUCCAGCCUGAGAACUAAGCCUCGGCCCCGUGCCCGCCCAGGAGGGGAAAGGUAUUUCUCUCUCUCGCCUCUUUCUCUCCGGGGAUGAAGGGCGCGGUGGCCGCCAUGUUAAGACGAUCACAGAUGGGAUUUACGACAAAAACUGCAGCCAAAGGACACGAGGGUGCUCUUGGGAAGGUGGGAGGCACCGGCCCCUCCCACCGCCGAGAUGUGAUCCCGGGGGCCGCACACAUGUGCGGCCUCUCCGCAGCUGUACAAGCAUGAAUCCAGACCCAGCAAAACCUCUUUCGGUGUGAGCAACUCCUCGCAGAAUGUCUCCAGCCUGAGAACUAAGCCUCGGCCCUGUGCCCGCCCAGGAGGGGAAAGGUAUUUCUCUCUCUGGCCUCUUUCUCUCCGGGGAUGAAGGGCGCGGUGGCCGCCAUGUUAAGACGAUCACAGAUGGGAUUUACGACAAAAACUGCAGCCAAAGGACACGAGGGUGCUCUUGGGAAGGUGGGAGGCACCGGCCCCUCCCACCGCCGAGAUGUGAUCCCGGGGGCCGCACACAUGUGCGGCCUCUCCGCAGCUGUACAAGCAUGAAUCCAGACCCCGCAAAACCUCUUUCGGUGUGAGCAACUCCUCGCAGAAUGUCUCCAGCCUGAGAACUAAGCCUCGGCCCUGUGCCCGCCCAGGAGGGGAAAGUUUGUUUUCAUGUCCUUGUGCUUCAGAGGGAUCUGAAAGACAGAUUGCUAAAGCAGGAUCAUUGUGAAUUGUGUUUGUGCACAUGUAGAAGCUUGAAAUCCUAAGAAAUUUGAAUUUUCUUCAUGGCAUCAAUCCAAGAGUCCAGCUUGCGCACAUGAAGUAAGACCUUGAAUUCUUUUUCGAACUUGGUAAUGAAGAAUCGACUUGGACAAAUUGCUGUUCUAGUAGAUGCUCCUCUAUGCAAACCACCGACAUCUUCAAAAAGUGCUUUACCUUGAACUCGUAGAUCAAGCGAUGCGUUUCUGCACUGCUUUACCUUGCACCAUAGGUCAGCACUAUUCACAAUAGCCAGAAUCUGGAAACAAUCUGAGUGCCCGAGAACAGACGGCUGGUAAAAGAAACCUUGGUACAUCUACACAAUGGAAUACUACGCAGCUGUUAGAAAAGAUGAAGUCAUGAAAAUUUCUUAUAAGUGUAUGGACAUGAGAGUAUCAUGCUAAGUGAAAUGAGUCAGAAAGAGAGGGCCAGACAUCGAAUGACUGCUCUUGUUUGUGGAAUAUAAAUAACAUGAAACUAACACCCAAGGACAGUAGAGACAAGGGCCAGGAGGAUCACUCUGUGGUUUGCAAGCCUGGUUCAUGUGUUGGGGAAGAAGGCAGUUGGGAUGGAGAAGGGACCACUAAGUCAAUGAUGGUUGGAGGGAUCACUCAGGAUGAGAGAUGUGUGCUGAAAGUAGACUAAUGACCAAACAUGAUGGCUUCUCAGUAUCUGUUGCAAGCCUUGACGCCCGAAAGUAGAGAGAGUAAUAAGGAAGGUGCCUGCCACAGAGGCAGGGGUGGAAUGGGGUGAGGAUAUCAGGAGGGAUACUGGGGACAUUGGUGGUGGAAAAUGUGCACUGGUGGAGAGAUGGGUGCUCGAUCACGUAUGACUGAAACUCAAUCCUAAAAGCUUUGUGCCUGUAUCUCACAGUGAUUCAAUUUAAAAAAAGUUGGGUUUUUCCUCAAAGGGUGCUUUUCUUACUUCAUUUGUAUCAUAGCCUAUGAGGAUGAUCAAUAAAAAUAGUUUAACCCAAGGAACCACCUUGCUUUUGGUCAAGAUAUUCAGGUUUUUUCCUUUUGAUAAAUUAUGUUAUAGAAGAUGGAUAACUGGUUCACCUUUAGGGGUAAACCACCAAAAGCAUAAGAUAUAAUGUGUGAGAGAGAGGAAUAGUGCCUGCCAUAGAGAUAGGCUUAAAAAUUAGCACUCUUGUAAAUCAUGGCAUCUGAAUACACAUGUUUUGAGGCUGGAGCGAUAGCACAGCGGGUAGGGCGUUUGCCUUGCAUGGGGCCGACCCAAGUUCGAUUCCUCCAUCCCUCUCGGAGAGCCCGGCAAGCUACCGAGAGUAUCCCGCCCACACGGCAGAGCCUGGCAAGCUACCCAUGGCGUAUUAAAUAUGACAAAAAGAGUAACAGUAAGUCUCACAAUGGAGACAUUACUGGUGCCUGCUUGAGCAAAUUGAUAAACAACGGGAUGACAGUGCUACAGUGCAGUGCUACACGUUUUUAAUGAAAAAGGUCUAUUCAUGUUGUAGCCUAUGACAAAAUUUUCAUAUUUAGGACUGAAUAAUAUUCUAUGUUUAUACCAUAUUUCUCUCUUCUUCUAUACAUUGAUUUUAAAAAAGGUUGCUUUUACCUUUUGGAUAUUCUGAAUAAUAGUGCAAUGAAGGUUGGCUUGCAAAUAUAUCUUCAAUAUUCCUAUUUCAGUUCUUUUUGGCAUAUAUCCAGAAGUGGGAUUACUAGAUCACAUGUUAUAUUUUUAAUCUUUGAGAUAUCUAUACUAUUUUAUAUAGUGUCUACACCAUUUUAAAUUCUCACCAACAGUGCACAGAAUUUCCUUCCACUACAUAUAUACCAGAACUUAAUAUUUUCUGUUUUUUAAAAAAUAAUGGCCUAAUACAUGUGAGGCAGUAUCUUAUUUUGAUUUUCUUUUGCAACUUUCUCAUAAUUAAUGGUGUUGAACACAUUUUUGUUUGCUCUUUUUGACAUUUAUAUGCCUUCUUAAAAAAAUGUAUAUUAAAGUCCUUCACUCACUUUAAAAUCAGGUUAUUUGACUUUUGUUUUUGUUGAACUUUUCUUUCUAUAUUCUAAAAAUCGACCCCUUAUCAGAUAUCUUAUUUGAAAACAUUUUCUUUCAUUCAGUAGACUGUUUUUUCACUCUUUUCAUUGUUUCCUUUGAUAUGCAUACGUUUUAAAGCUUGACACAGUUCCAUAAUACUUUAAAAUUUGAUGAUGUUUUGCUCUGGUUUCCAGUCAAUAUAGAGUCUUACCUUUACCAUAGUCUGUUGGUUAGAAUCAAGUUACAGGUUAGUCAAAGGGAGGGGAUCACACAAAGGAAUGUCAGAAGGAGGCAAGGCAAGAGGCCACCUUAGAGGCAAUCUGCUUUUAAAAGGAAGUAAAUGCCUGCUUCUUAUUUAGUAUCCAACAAGCCCUUUUUAAGAUCAAACAUUGUAUUUGGGUCAUGGUGAAAUAAAUUCAUUAUGGUUCUUGCUCUCUGUGAACAGAGUUCAAUAUGGUUGGAAGGGCACUAUGGUUGAAAAGGCUCAUGGUUG
Molecule: long non-coding RNA, 6354 nt
Organism: Sorex araneus (European shrew)
Lineage: Eukaryota; Metazoa; Chordata; Mammalia; Eulipotyphla; Soricidae
Exons: 6
Source: RefSeq, a predicted model, not a curated record